RNAcentral lists this ribosomal RNA (652 nucleotides) under Polypedilum pedatum. Its description in RNAcentral is "partial 28S ribosomal RNA". It matches the Rfam family "Eukaryotic large subunit ribosomal RNA", at positions 430 to 944 of the family's 3401-position model. The record is from RNAcentral. Lineage: Eukaryota; Metazoa; Arthropoda; Insecta; Diptera; Chironomidae.
CCAAAUAUCUAAACGGAGAAAUUCAAUACUACCCUUAACAAGUAGUGUGCACUUUUCUCUUAGUAAGACGCCGUGAUCCAUUAGAAAUUGGUACAUGCCAAAUGUACAGUGGGUCAUCAAUAGGCCGGCACGAAGUUUAUUGGAACAAAUGGCGUGAUCUUUAACGGUCGCGUGUAUUGUCUGGUAAGCGUGUCGAUACCUGCAAUGACUGUCUGAUGGAUUUUAAGGAUCAUAUCAACGGUGUUACGGCACCGGACGCGCUUGCGUAUCUCGAUAUGUGUCUGAUCAACGGCGGUUAAAUUUGGGAUACCUUCUGGACCCGUCUUGAAACACGGACCAAGGAGUCUAUCUAGUAUGCGAGUAAAUGGAUAGUUAAUGAAAUCUAUUUGCGUAAUAAACGUGACUGUUUUGUGGGAUUACAACUUGAGUGCUCUCGCGAGCCUCUUGUUUUCCAUCCCGGGGUAUUUUUGUCAACAUAUAAGCAAUUAUAUGGAAAAUAUACCAUGAGCACACUGGAUACGACCCGAAAGAUGGUGAACUAUGCCUGAUCAGGUCGAAGUCAGGGGAAACCCUGAUGGAGGACCGAAGCAGUUCUGACGUGCAAAUCGAUUGUCAGAAUUGGGCAUAGGGGCGAAAGACCAAUCGAACCAUC